Octopus sinensis (East Asian common octopus) is the source of this 1040-nucleotide long non-coding RNA. RefSeq lists it as uncharacterized. The record is from RefSeq and is a predicted model, not a curated record. NCBI's taxonomy places the organism in Eukaryota, Metazoa, Mollusca, Cephalopoda, Octopoda, Octopodidae. The transcript is spliced from 2 exons.
CCAUGUUUAGCAAUUAGGUUAAAAGACGCAAACAUAUGAAUAUCUACGGCUGCAGACACCAGUGGUACCUCUCUUCGGCAACAUCAGCAGCCGCUGCCUGAUGUUACUACAAGACCGCUUCUUUUUCUAUCGACUCCGUAGCUAGGCAACAAGUGUGUGCGAACAGCUGAAAAAGAAAUGCCACAUCGAAGUAGAGAACAUGUUAUUCGCAUCAGACAGAAGAAGAAAUAAGCAAAAGUUUAUUGCUGGAAUAUUUAAAACGGAAAGCAAAAGCAAAGAGAAGAAAACAGAUGUGAUCUAUACCAACUCAGAAGAACAGGAUAUAACAUCGUUAUUUUCAUCACCAUCAACACAAUCGGCUUUAUUAUUACUAGUAUUAAUAUAUGUGUUUUUAUUAACAGCACCGAGUAGAAAUUGUGUACAGCGAAAGACAUAAUCAAUGAAAAAAGAAAGGAAGACUCCAAAAUAGAAUAAAGAAAAGAUUAAAACUAAAACAGAGAGAAGACAAGAAAACAAAAACAGACAUUAAACUAACAAGGAAAUAUUAAGAUUUUUCGUAACAUUUUCAUACAAAUGAAUUUUAAUUAUUCAUUCAUUUAUAUGUACAUAUUGUGUAAUUUCGAUCAGGUUUUACAUCAGAUUCCGAAUUAAAUGAUAGAAUAAAUAUGAAAUUAGCCUGGCAACGUUAAUGGACAACAUGGCUAAAUAGAUUAUCUAUUGGAUAAAUCCAGGAAAAAUACCUAACAAUCAAGAUUUAUAAAUACUCACACGCGCACACAUAUUUGUCUUUCGUUCUUUCAUAAGAAACACCGAGGCAAUUUAAUCAAAGAAACUUGACACCUGCAACUAAGUAACAAAAUCUCAUGCAUCUGGAAAUUAUUGGAUUGAUAGAAUCAAAGGUUCCUCAGAUGAUCGUCACAAUGAAAAGCCUAGCAGUAAACUGUUCCUUGCAACACUGGCAUCAUCAAUAUAGAUGACACACUAGAUCAAACAACUCGACUUGAAAAAAAACAAAAACAAAAACAAAAAAGAAAACAAAA